ACACUACAGCCUUCAAUUGAAGUCUGGCUUUGCUUAAUUGUACUUUUUGCACUCAUCAGUCUCUCCUCUUCAGAGCAAGCUACAAAAAUUGCCUGAAUAGCCAAAGAAAAGUUUCCCACAGUCACUGGCCACAGAAAAACACUAUUGUCCUUCCUCACAGUUUGAUGGACAACAUUUCUGUAAAUGGGUAGCCAGGCUGUCAAUGGUACCCUUGCUGAAAAGGCAAAAGAAGAGAACAGAUUCUGCCAAUAUCUGACAAAGCAUGUUAGCACAUAAUCAGGCAUUCACUAGUCAGGCAGCUGCCCCUGGGACCUUCAUCACACAGGUGCCUUUAAGCCAUUUCCUAUUCAGAGAUAAAGGAAACAAGCAGGAGAUACCUGGGAAAGGAGCAGUUCAUUAUGGCUUGUCAAAUGUCCAUCUUCUGAGCUGUGUGUUUAAAAGUAGAAAGAGGAAAAAGAAAACUAGUUUCAACAAAAAAAUCAGAAAAUAGCAAAACACAAAACCUAUGAGUUAAGCUGUAGGUUUUUCCCCCUUUCCUUUUCUCUUUAGUUUUUUCCUGGGUGCAUUUGUUGUUUGGCAUAGCUGCAGUUCUGCCUAAUAACAAUGCAUUUGCUCAAAGGCCCCUUCAUACACUAAGGCUGAAAUGAACACUUACCUUGUCCAACUGAGUCAUGGAGAGUUUAUUUGGCCACCUUAAGCCAUUUUUCCUACACAUACAUGAGCAUGUACAUACACACAACCAUCAACAUGCAUCUGUUUUCCCACAACUGCUCCUUUUCAAGAUCUGUGAUAACUAAUUCCAAAGUGGUGAUGAGGUGGAUGAUCCUCCAGUAAAGCAAAAACUGAACCAUUUCUUUAGGAGCCACCAAAAUAAAUACUUAAGGAUGACAAUUAUUCUUUUUAUUUCUUCAUUAAUGCUCAGACAUUUUUUUCCAUAUGUGGACACCUACUUGGUGAAGCUCAGACCUCAGUACUCCAUUAAGCUAAUGGUCCCAUUGUUGUAGGAGACAGAUGAGGCAAGGCACUGAAGAUAGCAGGAAACAGUUUUAUUUGGCUGCAGCCAGAUUCCAAUGUAAUCAAUCAAUUAAUGCCCUGAAUCCUGAGUUCAGGUAGUUUCAGAACAUUAUAUCCAACAUGUAAGGGG
This 1144-nucleotide long non-coding RNA is filed under the name Marmota monax (woodchuck). Lineage: Eukaryota; Metazoa; Chordata; Mammalia; Rodentia; Sciuridae. The record is from RNAcentral.